UUCUUUCUUUCUUUCUUUCUUUCUUUCUUUCUUUCUUUUUUCCUGUUUGUCUCCUUUACGCAGAAAAGAGUUCCUAAUUUCUCGGCACAUUUAAUGCUUAAAAAAAUAAAAGAAAACAUUUAAUAUACAGGAAAUUGUAAAUAAGUAAUCGCAAAAUUAUACGUUGUUGGAAAAUAAUUUGAUGUCAAAUUUAAACUAAUUUUCUGAUCAAGUAAAUUUACAGGAAACAGCUUAUUCACUUACAUUUGGUCAUGUGAUAAAUGAACAAAUAACCUAAUUAGUAGAUUAAUCAGUUAACUAUUAUUGGUGACAGUUAUAUUAGUUAUCAUUUGUUUUCUGUACAGUGAAGAAAUAUGCAAGCGCAUCAGUCAAUUAACCAAAGGUUGUAACUGGCUCGUUUUUUGUUGAUCUGGAUGGUAAUUAUAAAGUCAAUUUUAUUAAAUUUUUUUUCUUGAGUCCCUGAAUGCUGUAAAACUUAGAACUCUCAUCAUGUCUGUCUGUCUGGAAGCUGAUCAACCAGCAACAUGCACUGCAAUGCAUCAUGUUCUGAUUUUACACAAGUAUUUGCACCCUGUGAACUUUGACCCAUGUUGCGUUACAACUGAAGAUUUCAACGUAUUUUAUAGAUUUUAUGGUAAACCAAGAUAAAUUAGAAUAGAUCUGCAAAGUGGAACAAAAAUGAGAUAUUGUUUUUUAAAACUGUUUUUCAAAGCAAAAAUCUGAAAAGUGUGGUGAGCAUGCGUGCUCUUCUGGCCCAAGUGGCUGUGUGUGAGGACAGAGACAGUGAGCACAAGCCACUGUUUGUACGCUUGACAUGUUUAUGCACAGGGUUUUCUUCUCCCAUUGAAAUGUGUUUGGAUCAUGUGUUCAUAUGCCUUGGCUGGACUGUUAGGACCAGUUUUAAUCUUAUGAAGCGUUUGGGAUUUGUCCCACUAAAUUUGGUUUUUCAGGAAUCUGGCCAGUCAGUGAACAGAAGAAGGGGUCGUGAACGAUGGCAUUGAUUUUCUGCUCUGUUUUAUAAUUUUAGUCCACCUGUUUCAGUAAUGGCAGCGGAGGACGCAAAGGGAGCCAUUCAGUCUGUUGGUCGCGCUUCCAAAUAUUGGGACAUUAAAGUCAAAGCAAAAGAAAUGUCUACGUUAUUUUAUGAUAACAAAGUAGUUUGUUGUUGUUCGAUGCGCAUAGAGUGUUUUUAUAAUAUUUAAAACAUUUUCCAGCCAACAAAGAACCUACGUUCAACUGAAGCAUGUUGCUUCAUUCCUGCCAAUGGACGAUCAAGAGCAAUUCAGAAACAUUAUAUCAAAGAAAGAGACAAAAGAGGAGGAAACAAACCCUGAAGCCUCUAAAAUAUAACAAUUUAAUCACAUCAAAAACAGAAUAAGAAAGAACUUUUUUUCACAUUGAUCAUUGUGUAAUAUUAAUGAGUGUUUGGGAAUCUGAAAGGAGUUUGCAGUGUGCUGCUGCCUUCAGAGACUGUAAUGCAUUAUGCAGUAUAUGGUAUAUGCAGUGCAGAUAUGUUUGGAGCUGCUGGUGAGAAGAAUAAUAAUGCAGAGAGGAGGAGACAGUAUUCCUCUGAAUAGUUCCAGUUUUAACCUAAACUUACUCAUCAAGUAUCUAAUAAAACAAGGGGGGAUGUUAACUAGACUGUGUUCAUCUACAGAGUGUUGGGAUACGAAUCAUAAAGGCUUUUAAAUAAUCCCCUAACUUAAUGUGUAAACACAAAAAUGGUCAGUUUUAUGUUGUUUCUCCUCCAUACAGGAAGUAAAAAUAAAGGCUGAAAAAUCUGGAGACCUUCUAAACUUUGGCAACAAGAAGGACCUUCCUUGUUUAAUGCCAACAUGUUGGUGUUUGGGAUUCAAUGUGGGACUCAGAAGACAGGAGACAAAACAUCAUGCCUUCCUGUUUCCUGUAGGGGAGGAUUUUGAUGAAGGAGAUCAAUCAGGCAUUGAAACAUUAGAUGAUUUCCUCCACUGACCAACGAUGGAGGCCGUUCAGCUCCACGCAGCAGAGAUGUUUUUGGAUCUUUCUCUGGAUUUCUGCCUCAAAACAAUCCAGUGAAUGAGGUCUACAGGCAAUUCCUUUGAUUUCAUGCUUGGUGUUUGACCUUUGACCUGCACGGUCAACUGUGGGACCUUACAUAGACGGAUGUGAUCCUUUCCAAAUCAAUCCAGUCAACUGAGUUCACCACAGGUGGCUCCAUUUUACCUGUAGAAACAUCUCAAGGAUGAUCAGAGGAAACACUUCAGUUUUGAGCUUCAUUGGUAAAGGGUAAAGGUAAAGUAAAGGUAAAGUACAUACUUAUAUAAAUGUACCACAAGUACCACAUUGUCAUAAUGUAGUACUUGUGUGUACAAUGUUUUGAGGACAGAGAUUCAUUAAUACAAUUUUGAAUGAGGCUGCAAAAUGUGGAAAAAGUGAAGAGUUAUGAAAAAAUUCUGAAUUCACUGCAGGUUUGAAUCUAUUCAAUUUACCUUUAUAUUGUAAAUGUCUAUUUUCAGUAGGUUGGAUUAGUGCAACAAUGUCUUCACUGAUCUCUGUAAAACAAAAACAACAAAAAUAGCAGCUUAACAGAAUGUGAAAUUCUGUUACUGGUUUUAGAAACAUUAAAUGGUUUUGGGAUGGUAUAGAUUUCUGAGUUGUGGGUGAGAUAUGAACCAUGUGGACCCGUCAGGUCAUCAGAGAUCUCCUUACCCAGAUUCCCAGAGCCAGAAUCAAACCAGACGAGGCAGCAUUUAAGUUUCUAUGCUCCUCUGCUUUGGAACAAACUGUCUGUAAAUCUGAAAUGUGCAGAAACUCUUGAUUCCAUUAAAUCAGGACUGAAAAGAGUUUUGUUUACAGCAGCUAAUGAACUGUCUGCAAAAGGCUUUAUUUUCCGUUUUCCUUUCCUUUGACUUCCAGAGAAGCACAUUGGUCUGCUCUGUGUAUGAAUGUUGUUAUAAAAAAAUGAUUUAUUUAUAUUUGCUUUUUAUUACAGAGCUGACAAUCAGGUGACACAAAACACAUUGAGCUCAUCUGUUUCUGUAGUACAGCUAUACAACCAAAAUAUGUUAUUUCAACAUAAUUCAAUCUGUUUUGUGGCGCGCACCAAUCCAUCCUGCAGCAAAACAUCCCCACAGCAUGAUGCUGCCACCAUUGUACUUCAUAAUUGGGAUGGUAUCUCAUGGUAGCAAACCUUUUCCUUCUCCAGUGAAGGUCAUUAGGACCGCACACUUUAGCUGUGGUUUCUGUUUGUGCUGCUGAGGACGUUUUUACUCUGUGGAACAGAUGUUUUUAUUCUUCCUCAUUCAGUGAGCUGUAAGUUGGAAGCUUUAAAAGCCACGUCAUCGACACCUGGGCUAAGAAACUCCCAGAGUUCUCCAGCGUUGUCAAGGGAGGGCGGAGUCUGGCGCUGCCGGCCAAUCACACACAGAGUUGCUCAGGCUGUCUUUAUUCAUCAGUGUUUUUGUCUGAACUCUGAACCUUGUAUUUCUGGACUCUCCAACUACAUUGCAGUUGUAUUUAUCACAGUGCUGGAGGAAAAUCGGUUGAUGUUUGAUUUGUGUCUAAUAUUUGGUUGUUAACUUACAUAUUAAUAUUCUCAACAUGUUUCCUGUUGCCAUCAUAUCUUCAUUUUUGGCCCAUUUUGUCUGAUGAAUUGAAGCAGCCAAACAUAUGCAUACUUUGAUAUAGGUCGCUGAUCUUAUUAAAUAAAUACAUAUUAUUGGAUAUGCUUUAAUCCAAUGACUAUCUGAGUUCAUAAGCUGGAGUUUGAAUAUAUGCAUAAAAUUUAAUAAUUUCUGGAAAGUACAUUUUUUGUUUUGACUUAUUUUAGGAUUUUUUCAUAUUCAGUUCAUUCCUUUGUUCCUCAUUGUCUUAACAGUCCUGGUGCUUUUAUUCUGUGCUUUAGUAUUUACUGUGUGUUUCUAAUUUGCUCCCCGUUUCUCUGUAUGUUCUGUCAGUCAUUUCUCCCAUUUUCUCAGUUCAGCUUCAGUUCCAGGCCUUCCCUCACAGCUGCAGCCUGCAGCCAGCUCUUGGUCAGCUCCCUUUGUUAUCCCCACCAGCCUGUUUCCUUUUUUCUCCUCCUGUGAUUUCGUACUUUGAAUUUCCACUGGAUUUUAGUAUUUGAUUUUUCUUUAUAGAGUGAACUCGUAUUGAUCACCUCCCUGCUUCCUGCAACUGGCUCCUGCUCUUCAACGCUUAAGGACAAAAAAUGACAAUGAAGAUAAUUAGGGAUGAAAUUCUAUAAACAUUUGGGCUGAUAUCAAUAUCUGAUAUUAAUGCUGCUGUUAUAACUGAUAACCAGUGUUUAUCAAAUUUGAAUGUAUGUAUUUAGAUAGAAUGCAAAAGUUGCCACGUCGUCUAUUGCUGCUCUGCUUCAGUUAAACACCCCACAAUCCUGCUGCUUUACUAUCACUGUAGCCUGACUGAACAUAAACCACAUGGCCAACCCCCCCCGACUCCUCCCCCCCCUCCUGAUGCCCAAACAGCAAGAAAAGGGAAAUAAACAUCGGUUGUUAAUAUCAGCACAUCUCUCCUCAUUGGACGGAUAUGUCAGAAAUAACUAACAUUGGCCGACACCGAUGAUGAUGCUGAUGACACAGGUCAUCACUGGCUCGCCUCAAGCUCAUGUAUUUGAAAUGGCAGGGUGUGAAUUCAGUGAUUUGGACCAUAAAAAUGUUGAAAUCAUAGAACUUUACAGAACACUUAACAAAUGUAUUUUCUCUAGUCAUUGUUGGUGUUUUAACGGCCAUGAUGGCAGGUGAGGCAGAGCUUUUGACUGUAUUGAAAUCUCAUGGGGAAAGAUUUUGUUUGUAAUAGCGUCACAAAAUGUUGAGAUUUUCUUUGUCUAUAAACAUUGCAUAGUCCGGUUUUCAGGGCAGAACUGAUUUAUUGUAGAGACAACAGUAGUAAUGAAUAAAUAUAUGUAUAUAAAGA
Molecule: long non-coding RNA, 4911 nt
Organism: Xiphophorus couchianus (Monterrey platyfish)
Lineage: Eukaryota; Metazoa; Chordata; Actinopteri; Cyprinodontiformes; Poeciliidae
Exons: 2
Source: RefSeq, a predicted model, not a curated record